UGAUCCAGCAAUGCCGCGUGANGUGAUGAAGGCCUUAGGGUUGUAAAGCUCUUUUACCCGGGAUGAUAAUGACAGUACCGGGAGAAUAAGCUCCGGCUAACUCCGUGCCAGCAGCCGCGGUAAUACGGAGGGAGCUAGCGUUGUUCGGAAUUCUGGGCGUAAGCGCACGUAGGCGGCUUUGUAAGUCAGAGGUGAAAGCCUGGAGCUCAACUCCAGAACUGCCUUUGAGACUGCAUCGCUUGAAUCCAGGAGAGGUGAGUGGAAUUCCGAGUGUAGAGGUGAAAUUCGUAGAUAUUCGGAAGAACACCAGUGGCGAAGGCGGCUCACUGGACUGGUAUUGACGCUGAGGUGCGAAAGCGUGGGGAGCAACAGGAUUAGAUACCCUGGUAGUCCACGCCGUAAACGAUGAUAACUAGCUGUCCGGGGACUUGGUCUUUGGGUGGCGCACCUAACCCAUUUAANUUNUCCCCCCUGGGGANUACGGCCCCCAAGGGUUAAAACNCAAAAGGAANUNGACCGGGGGCC
This 525-nucleotide ribosomal RNA is filed under the name Sphingomonas sp. L1j. Its description in RNAcentral is "bacterial SSU rRNA". It matches the Rfam family "Bacterial small subunit ribosomal RNA", at positions 384 to 922 of the family's 1533-position model. Lineage: Bacteria; Pseudomonadati; Pseudomonadota; Alphaproteobacteria; Sphingomonadales; Sphingomonadaceae. The record is from RNAcentral.